CUUAAUACAAAAUGAAGGGUUCCCAACCCAAGCAACACAUUUGGCCAGUUUUCAAUGACACAAAAAUAGCAAAGUCUAAGCCCUAUACAUGCCAUAUUCAAAAAUAUAAAUCAAACUAUACUGAAAGCUUCGAUUCAUAGUGUGAUCGAUAACUCUGACUUCUGCUGAUCCUCGAGCGAGAUAGACGGCACUAUAAGAAAAUGGAAAAAGAGAAGGAGUAAGCAUAAAACUUAGUAAGUUGCACAUAAAUAAAUAUACAACAUAUCUUUACCAUUCAUCAACAAGUAUCAUAACACACAAAACUUACUCAUCAAUAUUCAUUACACCUCAUAUAGCAUAUAUUGAGCAAACAUUUCGUACAUACCAUAUAGGUACCUGUACCACUCACAACAAGGUUAUACUUUCCUAGUUAACUUUAAAUCAUACUUUCACCUUUGAACCAUAUGGAACAUUAUCAGAUACUCAUUUAGCCUCAAAUAUGGGGUCAGACAUCGACGCCAUGUCCACGACAUGGUCUUACACAAGUUCUAGUAUAUUUAUGCCGAUGCCAUGUCCCAGAUACGGUCUUACACUGACACAUCUCGUAGCCAAUGCAUGUCCUAGACAUGUCUUACACUAGCACUCGUCUCAAUGUCAAUGCCAUGUCCCAGACAUGGUCUUACACUGGCUCUCAUAAUGUGGCCGAUGCAUGUCCCAGACAUGUCUUACACUAGCUCACAAUAACUCAUAUGUUAUGGCAUGAAUCUCUGAUCUAUUUCCUAGGUUCAACGGGAACUCUACUAUCCCUAUUACCAUCAUACUUUCUCAAUUCCACAAUCAAGCAAUUCAUGGUAUAUUAAUCUCAAGUACAAUUCAACACAUACAUUAAAAUUGUAGUUGUAUUAUUUACAUACAACUUACCACAGAUUACAAAAUGUGGAGACUAGUCGAUUUAGUCGAUUUGCUUGGCUUUCCCCCGGUCUAGGUUUAGAUUCGGUAUUUCUUGAUCUAUAAUAGAAAAAUUCGAUUAUUUAGUCACUUUAUCAAUCUAGGCACUCUACAAUUCAAAAUUGGGCAAGAUGACCAAUUUGCCCCUAGACUUUUACAAAAUGAUCAUUUUACCCCUAAGUCCGAAAAUCAAUUUUCAUCGAAUUUCUUCACAUCUUAAGCCUAGCAAAACCCUUUUUUCUCUUAUAGCAACUCCAAAUUCUCACUAUUUCACAUAUUUAAUAUCUAUUUUACAACUUGUGCAAAAUGGUCCUUUUAGGUGUUUUCAUGCUAACACCUUUCACAAAAGUUGGUUAUAAGACACCUAAGACUCAUUUUCUUCAACAAAAAACUCAGCAACAUUAAAAAUCCUUUCAUGAAAAAACCCUAAAAUCUUAUUCAUUUUGAAAAAUUGUACCCUCAUUUGAAAGCUUAUGCUCCAAGGGUCUCAAAAGUACAAAAAUAUUCAAGAAAAGCCAUAAAAAUCACUUUCUUCCAAGAGGAAUGAGUUGCUGAUAUUUUUGAAGCUCAAACCCCUAACAAUGGCUGAAAAAUCAGUGGUAAAGAAGAAAGAAUGAAAGAAAAAAGAUGAUAGUUAGGCUUAGGGCAUUAUUAUAUCAUACAUUAUGUCAUCAACUUACCUAAUGUUAACUUUUCAACAUUUUUACCUUCCGUGGCCGGCCAAGCUAUCACAAUAGGGCCUAAUUGCCCUUUAAAGACCUUCAAUUUUUAUUCUCUAGCUAUUUGACACUUUUAGCUAUCAAUUUAGGACUUUUGUAUUUUUUGCGAUUUAGUCCUUUCUCGCAGUUGGACUCACAAACGUCAAAAUUAAAUCACCAAAUUUUUUAUACACUUAUAUAAACAUGCAGUGACUCCAAAAUAAUAAUAAAAUAAUUUAUUCAACUCUAGAUUUGUGGUCCCGAGACCAUUACUCUAACUAGUCCUUAAAUCGGGCUGUUACAUUUCUUCCCCCUUAGGGAUUUUCGUCCCAAAAAAUCUUACCAGCGAAUAAGUUUGGGUAUUGAUCUCUUAUAGUCUCCUCAGGUUCCUAUGUGGCUUCUUCGAAUCCAUGUCUAUGCCACAAAACUUUCAUGAGUGCAAUACUCUUAUUCCUCAAUUGUUUGAGUUCCCGAGCUAAAAUCUAGAUCGGCUAUUCGCCAUAAGUCAUGUCCGGAUAAAUUUCAGUCUCGGUUGGGGCAACCACAUACGAAGGGUCUGAUCUAUACCAAUAUAGCACAGAUACAUGACACACUUUGUGAAUCUUUUCCAAUUCUGGUGGCAAAGCCAAAAGAUAGGGAACCAGUCUUACUCUCUCCAUAACCUUAUAAGGUCUUAUGAAGUGAUGACUCAACUUGCCUCUUCUACCAAAUCUGAUGACUUUCCUCCACGGGGAUACUUUCAAAAACACUUGAUCACCCACUUGAAAUUUAAUCUCUUUAUGUUUUAAAUCUGCAUAGGAUUUCUGUCUAUCCGAAGUGGCCUUCAAGCAGUCACGAAUCACUUUAACUUUCUAUUCAGUCUCUUUGAUUAAAUUGACUCCGUGAAUCCAACUCUCUCUGAGUUCCGUCCAAUAUAAGAGAGUUCGACCCUUUCACCCAUAUAAAGCCUCAUAAUGUGCCAUUUUCAUACUUUUCUGAUAACUGUUAUUGUAGGCGAAUUCAAUCAAUGGUAAGUAUCUUUCCCAAGUUCCCUGAAACUCGAGAAUGCAACACCGUAACAUGUCCUCUAAAAUCUAAAUCACUUUCUCUGACUGACCGUUGGCUUGCGGAUAGAAUGCCGUGCUAAAACUCAAAUUUGUCCCCAAUACCUCUUGUAACUUUUUCCAAAACCUUGAGGUAAAUAUCGGGUCUCUAUCCAAAAUAAUCGACAAAGGCACUCCAUGUAGCCUCACAAUCUCAGAAACAUACAAGUUAGACAAUAUUUCAAGGGAGUAGUCAGUACACACUGGUAUAAAAUGUACUGACUUUGUUCAUCUAUCCACAAUAACCCAAACAACAUCCUUUUUCUUCCGGGUUACCAAAAAGCCCGUCACAAAAUCCAUGUUAAUCUAAUCCCACUUCCACUCUAGAACCGUUAUAGGAAGAAGUAGACCUGAAGGUACUUGGUAUUCAGCCUUCACUUGUUGACACACAAGACACUUGGAAACAAACUCUGAAAUAUCUCUUUUCAUCCCCGACCACCAAUACAUUUUCUUCAGGUUGUUAUACAUUUUUACACUGCCUGGGUGGACAGACAAACAACCAUUAUGUGCCUCUCACAGAAUCUUCUAAAUAAGCUCAUUGCCCUUGGGUACAUAAACUCUAUUUUUGAACAUUAAACAUCCAUCAACACCAAUACAAAACUUAGAUUCAUUUUCCGUCUCAUACUGAGUCUUCUUAGCUUGCAACUCCUUAUCAUCUUUCUGAGCCUCACAAAUCUCUUGUAGUAAUGUCGGUUUAGCUCUCAACUCUGCUAGGAUCGAACCAUCAUCUAAUAAAGCCAUUUGCGCAUCCAUUGCUCUCAACACAAAUAAUGAUUUUCUACUCAAGGCAUCGGCGACCACAUUCGCCUUGCCCGGGUGAUAGUCAAUUACCAACUCGUAAUCCUUUAUCAGCUCUAGCCACCUUCGUUGCCAUAGAUUCAACUCUUUUGAGUCAUCAAAUAUUUGAGACUUUUUUUAUCGGUAAAUAUUCGGCAUUUCUCACCAUACAAAUGGUGUCUCCAAAUCUUCAAUGCAAACACGAUGGCAGCCAACUCUAGAUCGUGUGUUGGGUAAUUUUUUUCAUAUGACUUUAGCUGUCUUGAAGCAUAGGCUAUAAAUUUUCCUUUUUGCAUAAGUACACACCCCAACCUAUUUAAGGAGGCAUCACUAUAUAUCACAAAUUCCUUACCCGACUCUAGUUGCACUAGCAGUGGGGCUUCAGUCAACAAAACCUUUGAUUUCUCAAACUUUGUUGGCACUUUCUGACCACUCGAAUUUGACAUCCUUCUGUAGUAGCCUCAUUAUUGGUGUAGUGAUCAUAGAAAACCCUUGAACAAACCUUCUAUAGUAUCUGACCAAACCCAAUAAGCUUCGGACAUCCGUCACAUUCUUCGGCAAUUUCCAUUCAACAAUAGCCAAAAUUUUGCUUGGGUCAACUCUAAUCCCGUCACCCGACACAAUGUGUCCUAAAAUUCCAACCUCCCUAAGCCAGAAUUUGCUCUUACUGAACUUGGCGUACAUUUUUUUGUCUCUCAGGGUCUGUAAUAUAGUCCUCAAAUGCUUCGCAUGUUCACUCUUAUCAUGCAAGUAAAUCAGUACCACCGUGAACUUAUCCAAAUACGGCCGAAAAAUGGGUUCAUCAAAUCCAUAAACACCGCCGGGCAUUAGUCAAACCAAAGGGCAUGACGAGGAACUCAUAAUGCCCGUAUCUUGUCCGAAAUGCAAUCUUCGGUACAUCUUGCUCUUUCACUCUUAACUAGUAGUAUCCUGACCUCAGGUCAAUCUUGGAAAAUACACUGGCUCCCUUUAACUGAUCAAACAGGUCAUCGAUCCUUGGCAAAAGAUACUUGUUCUUCACUGUUACCUUAUUAACCUAACUAUAGUCGAUGCAUAACCUCAUCGACCUAUCUUUCUUUUUCACAAAGAGCACUGGAGCACCCACGGGGAAAAGCUCGAUCUCGCAAAGCCCUUGUUAGUUAACUCUUGUAGUUGAGCUUUCAACUCCUUUAACUCCGUAGGAGCCAUCCUAUACGGAGCAAUUGAGAUGGGUGCCGUGCCCAGUAUCAACUCGAUUCCAAACUCUACUUUCCUCACUAGAGGUAAUCAUAGUAAUUCCUCUGGAAAUAUGUCUGUAAACUCACAAACCACUGGUAUCGAUUCUAUCUUCAACUCAGACACUUGAGUAUUUAGCACAAAAGUGAUCAUUUCCUCAAAUAUUCCUCAACAGUCGAAGACGAUACUAUUACAGGCAACUUAUCUGAUUCAUCUGGCCCAACCCGAAGAACAUUUCCGUCUUCACAUUUCAACUCAAUAACUUUUCUCCCAUAGUCCACUACAAAACUAUGAAAAGUCAACCAAUCUAUCCCAAGGAUUACAUGAAAUUCAUUAAACGGCAAUAACAUCAAGUUAGCCUGAAAACAAUGACCUCUAAUUGUCAAAGGACAAUUUCUACAUACUUGGUCCACUAGCACAUAUCUGCCUAAAGGGUUAAACACUUUUAUUACAAACUCAGUGGACUCUACUAUCAUGUUCAUAUGAGGUAUCAAUUCUAUACAAAUGUAAAAGUGGGUAGACCCCGAAUCAAUUAAAGCAACAACAGAUAUUCCAUCAAUAGAAAAAGUACUCGUGAUCACAUCGGGAGAUUCUGCCUCUUCACAGGCACGAAUAGCGUAAGUCCUUGCAGGCGAUCUGCCCUCGGACCUCACUGCAGCAUCUCUGGGCGCACCCCUGCUAGUAGUCCCACUUUCAGAGCUCUUUUGUUUUUUCUCUCUCUCUCUUCCAUUUUAGGACAGUCUUGGAUGAAAUGUUCUAAUGAUCCACACUUAAAACAGCCCCUUUCAUUCCCCCAACAAUUGCUGCAGUGGCGCCUACCACAUUGCGAACAUUUUGGCCUAUUCGGCCAAGCACUACCGACGCUCGCGACAGAAGUGGUCUGGGCUCCAGAAGUUGUGUUCUGUCGGUUCUUGUUUCUAUUCGAAAACCCCACUGAAGCAUUCGAUUGAGUAGCAAAUUCCUUCGGUCUCUUAAAUGAAGACUAAUGUGACUUCCCCAUCUGUCUCUUCUUUGAAUCUCGCGACUCAAUAGCCGCUUUCCUCCUCUCUUUAACUAGCUCUUCUACCUUUCAUGCUCUCUCAAAGAGCACUACAAAUUCUCUUAGUUCUAAGAUGCCAACAAAUACUCAGAUAUCUUCAUUAAGACCAUCCUCGAACCUGUUACACAUGGCGGCUUCUGAGGACACGCACUCCGGCGCGUAUUUACUAAGUUUCACAAACUCUCGUUCAUACUCCAUCACUGUUCUACUACCUUGCUUUAACUCUAAAAAUUCCUUCCUUUUUUGGUCUAUAAAUUUCUGGCUAAUAUACUUUUUUUGAAAUUCUUCCUGGAAGAAUUACCAAAUGAUCCUCUCUCUCGGUACAACAGACACGAGAGUAUUCCACCACUGAUAAGCCGAAUCUCGUAGGAGUGACACUGCACACUUUACGCACUCUUCAGGCAUGCACGACAAUUCAUCAAACACCCUAACAGUAUUCUUUAACCAAAACUUUGCUUUCUCCGGGUCAUCAUCUAAGUUAGCCCGGAACUCCUCAGCUCCUUACUUUCUAAUCUUGUCUACCAGAGGCUUCUCCCUCCUAAUCAAGUACGUGCCUUGGGGAUCUACCGGGGCAUACUAAAAAAUCAGAGAAGGUGAGGGAGGUGGAGUGCUCAGAUUCACAGCGAAUCUGAGUACCAAGUGUCCACCAUUCGAAGAUAGGUUUCUCUAGCCCUUUCGCCUUGGCCCAUAGUCACGGGCUUGCUCUCAACUAGCGUAGUCCCCUCGACGGGAGCUGGGGCGUUACUCUCUACGUCAUCCGCCGUGGCUCUAUCAGGAUCCAUUUACUAUAUAGAAAUACAAUUUAUAAUCGUCAGAAGUCGUCACACUAUCAAUAUACAGUUAUGGCAUGUAUAGCUAGACUCGUUCUCUUGCUAGAUUAGUCUUAGAACCGACUAAACUAUAGCUCUUAUACCACUAAAUGUAACACCCUAUACCCGUAACCCAUGCUAGAGCGAAAUACGAGGCAUUACUUAACUCGAUCUUCUGCACACAAACGUUUCCCAAGUCACCAGACUUGAUCCAAAUUAAAACUUUUCAAUUUCAACAUAAAACAUUUUAUUAUGUGCCUACGAGCCCCAAAUCGACCAUUGAAAACUAUUCGGGAUCAACUCGGGUAUUCAAACCCUCUAUAAAAAAUUUGACUUUGAAAUAGGGCACACGCCCGUGUGGCCAUUUCAACAUGGUCGUGUUGAUGGCCUGUGUGGCUCACACGGCCUAGGUAAUAUAAGGACACACCCGUGUCCUCCGCUUGUAUGGAAUUAAUUCUAAAAGCACACCUAAAGGGGUUUUCACAUGGCCUGGCACACGCCCGUGUGCCUGGCUUGUGUCCUUCACACGGCCAUGACACGCCCGUGUCCUAGCCCGUGUGCAAAAAAAUGGACAUUCUGUUUCUGACGUUAGCAUCCCCAAAAUAUCACACAGCCAAUGCACACACCCGUGUGCUAGGCCGUGUCUAUUACAUAGUUGAGAUACACGAUCGUGUCUCUGCCAGUGUGUUUACUGUCAUGCAUAUUGACUUGAAAUUUUUAUGUACAAGGGACACAUGACCGGACCACACACCCAUAAGGCAAACCGUGUGGACAAUAUAAGGCUAUUUCCCAAGCCUAUUUGCCACCCUUACUUACACAACCUAUAUAGUAGCAACCACAAUCAAGAUAAGACUAUCCCAAGCAACCAAAUCAGCCACUAUAAACAACAUUCCAUUUGUGCAUUUUACUUAUCUAUGAAAAUAACAUCUUUACAUAUAAAUCAAAAUGAAUAUUAGCCAUUAUUCAAGGCUUAAUACGAAAUGAAGGGUUCCUAACCCAAGACAACACAUUUGGCCAGUUUUCAAUGACACAAAAAUAGUAAAGUCUAAGCCCUAUACAAGCCAUAUUUAAAAAUAUAAAUCAAACUAUACCAAAAGCUUCAAUUGAUAGUGCGAUCGAUAUCUUUGACUUUCGUUGAUCCUUAAGUUAGAUAGGCAGCACUAUAAGAAAAUGGAAAAAGAGAGGGAGUAAGCAUAAAGCUUAGUAAGUUGCACAUAAAUAAAUAUACAACAUAUCUUUACCAUUCAUCAAAAAGUAUCAUAAUACACAAGUGGCAUAAGCAAAACUUACUCAUCAAUAUUCAUUACACCUCAUAUAGCAUAUAUUGAGCUCACAUUUCAUACAUACCAUAUGGGUACCUGUACCACUCACAACACGGUUAUACUUUUCUAGUUAACUUUAAAUCAUACUUUCACCAUUGAACUAUAUUGAACAUUAUCGGAUAUUCAUUUAGCCUCAAAUAUGGGGUCAGACAUCGACUUCAUGUCCCCGACAUAGUCUUACACAAGUUCCAGUAUAUCUGUGCCGAUACCAAGUCCCAGACAUGGUCUUACAUUGACAGAUCUCGUAGCUGAUGCAUGUCCCAAACCUGUCUUACACUAGCUUACGUCUCGAGGCUGAUGCAUGUCCCAGACAUUCUUACACUAGCACCUGUCUCAAUGCCGAUGCCAUGUGCCAGACAUGGUCUUACACUGGCUCUCAUAAUGUGGCUGAUGCAUGUCCCAGACAUGUCUUACACUAGCUCACAAUAACCCAUAUGUUAUGGCAUGAAUCUCUAAUCUAUUUCCUAAGUUCAAACUGGAACUCUACUAUCUCUAUUACCAUCAUGCUUUCUCAAUUCCACAAUCAAGCAAUUCAUGCUAUAUUAAUCUGAAGUACAAUUCAACACAUAUAUUAACAUUGUAGUUGUAUUAUUUACAUACAACUUACAUCGGAUUACAAAAUAUGGCAACGAGUCGAUUUAGUCGAUUUGCUUGGCUUUCCCCCGGUCUAGGUUCAGAUUUGGUAUUUCUUGAUCUAUAAUAGAAAAAUGCAUUUAUUUAGUCACUUUAUCAAUCUAGGCACUCUACAAUUCAUAAUUGGGCAAGAUGACCAAUUUGCUCCUAGACUUUUGCAGAAUGACCAUUUUACCCCUAAGUCCGAAAAUCGAUUUUUGUCGAAUUGCUUCACAUCUUAAGCCUAGCCAAACCCUUUUUACUCUUAUAGCAACUCCAAAUUCUCACUAUUUCACAUAUUUAACAUCUAUUUUACAACUUGUACAAAAUGGUCCUUUUAGGUGUUUUCAUGCCAACACCUUUCACAAAAAUUGGUUAUAAGACACCCAAGACUCAUUUUUCUUUUACAAAAACUCAGCAAAAUUACAAAUCCUUUCAUGUAAAAACCCUAAACUCUUAUUCAUUUUGCAAAAUAGUACCCUCAUUUGAAAGCUAUUGCUCCAAGGGUCUCAAAAGUACAAAAAUAUUCAAGAAAAGCCAUAAAAAUCACUUACUUGUAAAAGGAAUGAGUUGCUGAAAUUUUUGAAGCUCAAACCCCUAACAACGACUAAAAAAUCGAUGGUAAAGAAGAAAGAGUGAAAGAAAAAAGAUGAUAGCUAGGCUUAGGGCAUUAUUAUAUCAUACAUUAUGUCAUCAACUUACCUAAUGUUGACUUUUCAACAUUUUUACCUCCCAUGGCCGGCCAAGCUAUCACAAUAGGAUCUAAUUUCCCUUUAAAGACCUUCAAUUUUUAUUCUCUAGCUAUUUGACACUUUCAACUAUCAAUUUAGGAGUUUUGCAUUUUAUGCGAUUUAGUCAUUUCUCGCAAUUAGACUCGCAAACGUCAAAAUUAACUCACCAAAAUUUUUAUACACUUAUAUAAACAUGCAAUGACUCUAAAAUAAUAAUAAAAUAAUUUAUUCAACUCUGAAUUUGUGGUCCUAAGAUCACUAUUCUGACUAGGCCCUAAAUCGGGCUAUUACACUAAAAUUCUAGUAAGUGAGGCUGCAUGGUUACCAGGAGCUGUGGAUUACAGAAUUCAAAAUGGUGAGAGUUGUUCUGAAACUUUUAUUGUGGCAGAUCUAGUUGACAAUGUCAUAAGGAAAUGGAAAGUGGAGUUCAUAAUGUAUACCUUCUAUGAAAGUGAUGCUAAAAGAAUUCUGAGCAUCUCUUUGUCAAGGUUCUCGCAUGAAGACUACUAAGUGUAGAGAGAGAGGAGGCAUCGAGGGAAUUCUCAGUUCGCGGUGCCUAUAAGUCUCUUUUACAAUAGUUUAUUGAGCUUACUCAUUUAUACAACCAAACUGAGCAUACAAAUUUUUACAAGAAAUUAUGGGGCUUGAAUCUACCCUAAAAACUGAAUAUUACAAUUUGGUGUUUCUAAAAAAAAUAAUUUCCUACGCUAUUUAAUCUACAGUAUAAAAGAUCAAGAAAUACAAUAAUAUGCCCGAGAUGCAUAGGAAAGGUUGAAUCCAGAGUACAUGUUCUGCGUGAUUGUCUUGUGACAAAGGAGAUGUGGCAUCAAUUGAAUUGGAAUUGGCCAAAUUCAGUAUUAUACAUGGAGCUUAUGUACUGGGUUACCAGGUUUUUUUUAGAAAAAUUCUACCAUUCAAUGUUGUCUUUUUGUCUGUGCUUUAUGGGUAAUAUGGACUGAAAGAAACAAAUUGGUCAUGAGGGGCAAAGGAAAACAAGUUUAGCCAUAACGAAUUUUAUUAGGAAUUAUGUUCAAAAACUAGAUGGUUGAAUAAUUCCAUACAUGUUCAAAGAAUGGAGUUGAAAAAGUGGCAGCCAACAGAGAACCCAUUUGUGAAAAUAAACUUUGAUGCAGCAUACAGAAAACAUGAAAGCAAAUCUUGCUCAGUGAUUGCAAUUAGAGAUUCUAUGGGGCGGGUAUUGAGUUUUAGGGUUGAGUUGAAUGAUAAUGUACCCUUGGUGUUCGCAGUAGAGGCUAUUGCAUGCGUUCAACUGGGCCUGGAUCUGGGGUUUACGACAGUCGAAAUUGAAGGAGAUGCCCUAUCUAUUGUAAAAAAAAUACACAAAGGAGGGGUGAUAAAUAAAAAAUUUGUGCUUAUAUUAGAGAUGGGCAAGGGCUGGGUAAAAGAUUUCAAACCUGUCAAUUUAAACAUGGGCACAAAUUAACGAAUUGGGUUGCUCAUUUGCUGGCUGCAAAAGGUCUAAAGAAAGGGGAUCGAUGCUUGAUGAGAAAUGGGUUUCCUGAGUAUGUUAGAGAAUAAGUGGAAAUGGAUCAUAGGGGAUAAUGUUUUUGGUCUGGGUUUUUUCUUAGUUUGGCAAGUUGGGGGACAAGAAGCAUAUAGAGAAGAGAGAUAAAUGGAAGUCGGAUGGUUUCUAGUAAUUGGAAAAAAAAAAAAGAUAAAUUAUUGAGGGGUUACUAUCUAGUUGUUGGAUCACAGGAGUUGUGUCGCAUUAAUUGCUUCAAGAGUAAGCUCCUUUCUUUGUUGGAUUAUUGGGCUGAUUGGGUUAGCCCAACUUUAUUGUUUUGCCCGUUUGUUG
Molecule: long non-coding RNA, 11028 nt
Filed under: Gossypium barbadense (sea-island cotton)
Lineage: Eukaryota; Viridiplantae; Streptophyta; Magnoliopsida; Malvales; Malvaceae
Description: long non-coding RNA (GBAR_LNC005245)
Source: RNAcentral